AGUGAACGCUGGCGGUAGGCCUAACACAUGCCAGUCGAACGGCAGCACAGUAAGAGCUUGCUCUUACGGGUGGCGAGUGGCGGACGGGUGAGGAAUACAUCGGAAUCUACUUUUUCGUGGGGGAUAACGUAGGGAAACUUACGCUAAUACCGCAUACGACCUACGGGUGAAAGCAGGGGAUCUUCGGACCUUGCGCGAUUGAAUGAGCCGAUGUCGGAUUAGCUAGUUGGCGGGGUAAAGGCCCACCAAGGCGACGAUCCGUAGCUGGUCUGAGAGGAUGAUCAGCAACACUGGGACUUAGACACGGUCCAGACUCCUACGGGAGGCAGCAGUGGGGAAUAUUGGACAAUGGGCGCAAGCCUGAUCCAGCCAUACCGCGUGGGUGAAGAAGGCCUUCGGGUUGUAAAGCCCUUUUGUUGGGAAAGAAAAGCAGCAGGUUAAUACCCCGCUGUUCUGACGGUACCCAAAGAAUAAGCACCGGCUAACUUCGUG
This 492-nucleotide ribosomal RNA is filed under the name uncultured bacterium. Its description in RNAcentral is "partial 16S ribosomal RNA". It matches the Rfam family "Bacterial small subunit ribosomal RNA", at positions 29 to 507 of the family's 1533-position model. The record is from RNAcentral.